Molecule: unclassified non-coding RNA, 365 nt
Filed under: Hevea brasiliensis (rubber tree)
Lineage: Eukaryota; Viridiplantae; Streptophyta; Magnoliopsida; Malpighiales; Euphorbiaceae
Source: RNAcentral
ACGGGAUCUUGAUCUGUAAUUGCCUUCGCUAUUGGAGCGAAGAACCACUAGAACGCACGUAGGGGAAAUCAUGGAUUCUGUAUCUUCCAACUCCCAUGGAAAUCUGGACGAGCAGAUUUCCCAGCUCAUGCAGUGCAAGCCCUUGAAUGAGCAGGAGGUAAGAGUACUGUGUGAGAAAGCUAAGGAGAUACUAAUGGAUGAGAGCAAUGUCCAGCCUGUUAAAAGUCCAGUAACAAUAUGUGGUGAUAUUCACGGGCAAUUUCAUGAUCUUGCAGAACUCUUUCGCAUUGGAGGGAAGUGUCCAGAUACAAAUUACUUGUUUAUGGGUGAUUAUGUCGACCGUGGCUACUAUUCCGUUGAAACCG